UACGUAGGGUGCAGGCGUUAAUCGGAAUUACUGGGCGUAAAGCGUGCGCAGGCGGUUUGCUAAGACAGGUGUGAAAUCCCCGGGCUUAACCUGGGAACUGCGCUUGUAACUGGCAAGCUAGAGUGUGGCAGAGGGGGGUGGAAUUCCACGUGUAGCAGUGAAAUGCGUAGAUAUGUGGAGGAACACCGAUGGCGAAGGCAGCCCCCUGGGUCAAGACUGACGCUCAUGCACGAAAGCGUGGGGAGCAAACAGG
This 253-nucleotide ribosomal RNA is filed under the name uncultured bacterium. Its description in RNAcentral is "partial 16S ribosomal RNA". It matches the Rfam family "Bacterial small subunit ribosomal RNA", at positions 524 to 776 of the family's 1533-position model. The record is from RNAcentral.